Transfer RNA from Lepisosteus oculatus (spotted gar), 83 nucleotides. It matches the Rfam family "tRNA". Rfam says of the family: Transfer RNA (tRNA) molecules are approximately 80 nucleotides in length. Their secondary structure includes four short double-helical elements and three loops (D, anti-codon, and T loops). Lineage: Eukaryota; Metazoa; Chordata; Actinopteri; Semionotiformes; Lepisosteidae. The record is from Rfam.
GUCAGGAUGGCCAAGCGGUCUAAGGCGCUGCAUUCAAGUUGCAGUCUCCCCUGGAGGUGUGAGUUCAAAUCUCACUUCUAACA